UAGGUGACAUCUAAGAAAGGCCACAGAUCC
RNAcentral lists this non-coding RNA (30 nucleotides) under Mus musculus (house mouse). Lineage: Eukaryota; Metazoa; Chordata; Mammalia; Rodentia; Muridae. The record is from RNAcentral.